AGAAUCAACGCUGGCGGCGUGCCUAACACAUGCAAGUCGAACGAGAAAGGGCAGCAAUGCCUGAGUAAAGUGGCGCACGGGUGAGUAACACGUGACUAACCUACCUUUGAGUGGGGGAUAACCUAGGGAAACCUGGGCUAAUACCGCAUAAUACCUACGGGUCAAGGCGAGCAAUCGCGCUUAAAGAGGGGGUCGCGGCAGAUUAGCUAGUUGGUGAGGUAAUGGCUCACCAAGGCGAUGAUCUGUA
Molecule: ribosomal RNA, 247 nt
Filed under: uncultured bacterium
Lineage: Bacteria
Description: partial small subunit ribosomal RNA
Rfam family: Bacterial small subunit ribosomal RNA
Source: RNAcentral